RNAcentral lists this ribosomal RNA (1071 nucleotides) under Triticum aestivum (bread wheat). Its description in RNAcentral is "partial small subunit ribosomal RNA". Lineage: Eukaryota; Viridiplantae; Streptophyta; Magnoliopsida; Poales; Poaceae. The record is from RNAcentral.
AGACCACCCUUUGAGCAGAACAAUCCAUCGAUUUCCUUGCCCUCCACCAGCACAUCAACCUUCUCCUCCCCGGUCAAUUCGUUCUCAUCUCUGCUCCUCUCGAAUCAUUAUCCACUCCCUACAACCAGCACUGCGCCUUGGAACGACAGCAGCAACAGCAACCAUGCUCAGCAGCUCCGAGAUCCAUGGAACCAUCUCUUCAUGCCAACCAAUGGUGAAUUAGCUAAUGAUGAGGAGAGGCACAAGAAUUUGGAAGGGCAGGCGCUGUUUCCAGCUACAAUCACCGGAGAAGGGGAAGAAGGCGAUGGGAGCAGCGCCGCCGGCCACAUCUACAACAACACCGCUAGACAUGGGAGCAGCCCGGCUGGCAAUGAGUUCCAAUUGGCAAUGUCCUCUCCAUCUCCAUGGUCCAGGGGUGUUCAGCACUACCACAACACCCUGCAGCACCAAGCUUCCUCCAUCACCUCCACCAGCUCCCUCGGAAAUAACAUCUUGGACUUCUCAAACAAUGGUUCGCCACGUGAGUGCACGAGCACAGCAUCUGGAGCAGCUUUCAAGAAGGCUAGGACCCAAGAACCCUCCCCGGCUCAAUCUACUGUUAAGGUGAGAAAGGAGAAGCUAGGGGAUAGAAUAACUGCCCUUCACCAGCUCGUCUCCCCAUUUGGGAAGACUGACACUGCGUCUGUACUCCUUGAAGCCAUUGGGUACAUCAGAUUCCUACACGGUCAAAUUGAGGGCCUGAGCUCGCCGUACCAGCUGGUCGGCGGCGGCGGCGACGGAGGUGGGGGCUCCGGCAGCGCCAAGCAGCGGCACCAGGCCAGCGUGCAACAAAAAGAAAGGAGCAGCAUAUUUCCAGAAGAGCCUGGCCAGCUGCUACAUGGCAAUGCCACGAGGAAGAGAGGACGCCCUGAUCAGGACGAAGACAGCUGCGAGGAAGCAAUGACGAAGGACCUGCGGAGCAGGGGGCUCUGCCUCGUCCCGGUGAGCUGCGCGCCGGACUUCGGCGCCGACGUCGGGCCGGCUGACUACUGGACGGUGGCGCCGCCUUUCGGGAUGGGGUUCGGCCGGUAG